This 1012-nucleotide long non-coding RNA is filed under the name Salvia miltiorrhiza (redroot sage). RNAcentral's name for it is "long non-coding RNA (SMIL_LNC000740)". Lineage: Eukaryota; Viridiplantae; Streptophyta; Magnoliopsida; Lamiales; Lamiaceae. The record is from RNAcentral.
UGUAACAACAGCAGGUAGCCCUUCAGGGAUGGCUGCAACAGCAAGAGCAACUGCAAUCUAGAAAACCAAAUGUAAAUAGUUUCGUCAGACACAAAGUUCAGAAACUGAAGCCAAACACAUAAGCACAUUAUAUAAAUUAUUAGGAGAUAAAUUGGAAAACUCAAUAACUAGUGUAGUUUUCAUGCAACCUCUAAAACGUAUAAAUGUCCAUAUGCAUCUUAACAAUUAGAAUUAAACAUCUACAUGUCUGAAAAUUUCUGGAUUCUAUACAGGAUCCGCUCCAGGAGAACUACAGAUUUUAUGGACUCCACAUCGAAUUUGAAGGUUCACAACAAAAUGAUUAUUGCAUCGAAUUUGAAGGUUCACAACAGAUUUUAUGGAUCCGCUGAUUUUGCUUUCCAUUCAGGCCUUCUUCUAAGUUCUACAAGACUAAUCAAUCUACCUAGACAGAAACAAAAUACUGAUUAAUCACCAGAGAAACUUAGAAUUGUGGCAAACAAACACAUGCAAAAAGUUGAAUAAGAGAAUUCCCAUAAAGGUAAGAUAGAAAUUUCCUGUUCGUUGACUAGAAAAGCACACAUUAAACCCAUAUACGAGUUUCAGAAAAUCAUCAACCAAUAUUCAAUUCAAACUACCACCAAAAUAAGCAAACCGCCAGACCAACGAUUCAGUACAUCAGAGUGUAAAUUGCAAAGAGAGACAUCAAAACGAAAGCCGAGAACGCUACACAAUCAAAAACCCUCGAGCAAAAUUGGAUCUUUAGAGAGAGAAAAGAGGGAUUGAGGAAAUCGGAGUAGGUGAGGUCGGCAGAGAGAAGGAGAGGCGAAAGAGGCACCUCCACCACGGCGAUGCACUCAAGAAGACGAAGAAGGACCAAUUUAUUGGAAACAAAUUCAUUAUAAAAUAGCAAAUUCAACAUAAAACACCAUUUCGAACAAAAUACAAAAAUACAAUAAUUCAGAAACUAUUUUUCCGAAAAUACAAUAAUUCAGAAACUAUUUUUCCGACUCAC